GUCCUACGGGGCGCAGCAGUAGGGAAUCUUCCACAAUGGGCGAAAGCCUGAUGGAGCAACGCCGCGUGGGUGAAGAAGGUCUUCGGAUCGUAAAACCCUGUUGUUAGAGAAGAAAGUGCGUGAGAGUAACUGUUCACGUUUCGACGGUAUCUAACCAGAAAGCCACGGCUAACUACGUGCCAGCAGCCGCGGUAAUACGUAGGUGGCAAGCGUUAUCCGGAUUUAUUGGGCGUAAAGGGAACGCAGGCGGUCUUUUAAGUCAAGGGUGAAAUCCCCGCGCUCAACGUGGGAACUGCCUUUGAAAC
This 305-nucleotide ribosomal RNA is filed under the name uncultured bacterium. Its description in RNAcentral is "bacterial SSU rRNA". It matches the Rfam family "Bacterial small subunit ribosomal RNA", at positions 335 to 633 of the family's 1533-position model. The record is from RNAcentral.